This 503-nucleotide ribosomal RNA is filed under the name uncultured bacterium. Its description in RNAcentral is "partial 16S ribosomal RNA". It matches the Rfam family "Bacterial small subunit ribosomal RNA", at positions 30 to 523 of the family's 1533-position model. The record is from RNAcentral.
AUUGAACGCUGGCGGCAGGCUUAACACAUGCAAGUCGAGCGGGGUGAUGGUGCUUGCACUAUCACUUAGCGGCGGACGGGUGAGUAAUGCUUAGGAAUCAGCCUAUUAGUGGGGGACAACAUCUCGAAAGGGAUGCUAAUACCGCAUACGUCCUACGGGAGAAAGCAGGGGAUCACUUGUGACCUUGCGCUAAUAGAUGAGCCUAAGUCGGGUUAGCUAGUUGGUGGGGUAAAGGCCUACCAAGGCGACGAUCUGUAGCGGGUCUGAGAGGAUGAUCCGCCACACUGGGACUGCGACACGGCCCAGACUCCUACGGGAGGCAGCAGUGGGGAAUAUUGGACAAUGGGGGAAACCCUGAUCCAGCCAUGCCGCGUGUGUGAAGAAGGCCUUAUGGUUGUAAAGCACUUUAAGCGAGGAGGAGGCUCUUUUGGUUAAUACCCAAGAUGAGUGGACGUUACUCGCAGAAUAAGCACCGGCUAACUCUGUGCCAGCCGCCGCAGUAA